GAUGAACGCUGGCGGCGUGCUUAACACAUGCAAGUCGAACGAAGCUGCCUGGAGGAAGUUUUCGGAUGGAAUUUAGGUAGACUUAGUGGCGGACGGGUGAGUAACGCGUGGAUAACCUGCCUUAUACAGGGGGAUAACGGAGAGAAAUUUCCGCUAACACCGCAUAAGACCACAGCACCGCAUGGUGCAGGGGUAAAAUAUUUAUAGGUAUAAGAUGGAUCCGCGUCCGAUUAGCUAGUUGGUGAGGUAAAGGCCCACCAAGGCGACGAUCGGUAGCCGGCCUGAGAGGGUGAACGGCCACAUUGGGACUGAGACACGGCCCAAACUCCUACGGGAGGCAGCAGUGGGGAAUAUUGGACAAUGGGGGAAACCCUGAUCCAGCGACGCCGCGUGAGUGAAGAAGUAUUUCGGUAUGUAAAGCUCUAUCAGCAGGGAAGAAAAUGACGGUACCUGACUAAGAAGCCCCGGCUAACUACGUGCCAGCAGCCGCGGUAAUACGUAGGGGGCAAGCGUUAUCCGGAUUUUACUGGGUGUUAAGGGAGCGCAGACGGCAAUGCAAGUCUGAAAGUGUGAAGGCGUGGGCUCAUACCCAUGAACUGUUUUUGAAACUGUAUAGCUUGAGUGUCUAGAAGGG
RNAcentral lists this ribosomal RNA (634 nucleotides) under uncultured Lachnospiraceae bacterium. Its description in RNAcentral is "bacterial SSU rRNA". It matches the Rfam family "Bacterial small subunit ribosomal RNA", at positions 28 to 658 of the family's 1533-position model. Lineage: Bacteria; Bacillati; Bacillota; Clostridia; Lachnospirales; Lachnospiraceae. The record is from RNAcentral.